This 510-nucleotide unclassified non-coding RNA is filed under the name uncultured Glomus. RNAcentral's name for it is "SSU rRNA". It matches the Rfam family "Eukaryotic small subunit ribosomal RNA", at positions 569 to 1080 of the family's 1831-position model. The record is from RNAcentral. Lineage: Eukaryota; Fungi; Glomeromycota; Glomeromycetes; Glomerales; Glomeraceae.
AGCAGCCGCGGUAAUUCCAGCUCCAAUAGCGUAUAUUAAAGUUGUUGCAGUUAAAAGCUCGUAGUUGAAUUUCGAGAUCAAUAUGUUGGUCGUGCCUAUGGUACGUACUGAUUUUAUUGGUUUCUCCCUUCUGACGAACCAUGAUGUCAUUAAUUUGGUGUCGUGGAGAAUCAGGACUGUUACUUUGAAAAAAUUAGAGUGUUUAAAGCAAGCUAACGCUUGAAUACAUUAGCAUAGAAUAAUGAAAUAGGACGUUUGAUCCUAUUUUGUUGGUUUCUAGGAUCAACGUAAUGAUUAAUAGGGAUAGUUGGGGGCAUUAGUAUUCAAUUGUCAAAGGUGAAAUUCUUGGAUUUAUUGAAGACUAACUACUGCAAAAGCAUUUGUUAAGGAUGUUUUUAUUAAUCAAGAAUGAAAGUUAGGGAAUCGAAGACGAUCAGAUACCGUCGUAGUCUUAACCAUAAAUUAUGCCGACUAGGGAUCAGAUGAUGUUAAUUUUUUUAAUGACUCAUU